Molecule: ribosomal RNA, 468 nt
Filed under: uncultured bacterium
Lineage: Bacteria
Description: partial 16S ribosomal RNA
Rfam family: Bacterial small subunit ribosomal RNA
Source: RNAcentral
GAUGAACGCUGGCGGCGUGCUUAACACAUGCAAGUCGAACGGUAACGCCCAAGCUUGUUUGGAUACUCGAGUGGCGAACGGGUGAGUAACACGUGGGUGAUCUGCCCUGCAGUUCGGGUUAAGGCUGGGGUACUGGGUCUAAUAUAGGAUCUGACGAUGGAUUGGAUGCACUGGAGGACAGCUCUUUCGUUGUGCGACGAACUUGCGGCGUGUCAGCUUGUUGGUGGGGUAAUGGCCUAGCAAGGCGUCGACGGGUAGCCGGCCUGAGAGGGUGUACGGCCGCACUAGAACUGUACGGCGGCCCAGACUGGGACAUGUGGCAGCAGGGGGGAAUGUUGGACAAUGGACGCAAGCCUGAUGCAGGAACGCCUCGUGGGGGAUGACGGCCUUCGUGUGGUAAACUCCUGUUGCGAGGGACGAAGCGUGUUUGUGACGGUACCUGGAGAAGAAGCACCGGCUAACUACGUG